CCUACGGGUGGCAGCAGUGGGGGAUAUUGCACAAUGGGGGAAACCCUGAUGCAGCGACGCCGCGUGAGUGAAGAAGUAUUUCGGUAUGUAAAGCUCUAUCAGCAGGGAAGAAAAUGACAGUACCUGACCAAGAAGCUCCGGCUAACUACGUGCAAGCAGCCGCGGUAAGACGCAGGGGGCAAGCGUUAUCCGGAUUUACUGGGCGUAAAGGGAGCGUAGGCGGUUGCGUAAGUCUGUUGUGAAAGCGUGGGGCCCAACCGCAAGAUGGCAUUGGAAACUGGGUAACUGGAGUGCAGGAGGGGCAGGCGGAAUUCGUGGUGUAGCGGUGAAAUGCGUAGAUAUCAGGAAGAACACCGAUGGCGAAGGCAGCUUGCUGGACUGUAACUGACGUUGAGGCUCGAAAGGGUGGGUAGCAAACAGGAUUAGAUACCCGGGUAGUC
This 440-nucleotide ribosomal RNA is filed under the name uncultured bacterium. Its description in RNAcentral is "partial 16S ribosomal RNA". It matches the Rfam family "Bacterial small subunit ribosomal RNA", at positions 338 to 795 of the family's 1533-position model. The record is from RNAcentral.